This 532-nucleotide ribosomal RNA is filed under the name Fusarium cf. solani IPBCC 08.566. RNAcentral describes it as "eukaryotic LSU rRNA". The stretch from base 154 to 307 matches the Rfam family "5.8S ribosomal RNA". The record is from RNAcentral. Lineage: Eukaryota; Fungi; Ascomycota; Sordariomycetes; Hypocreales; Nectriaceae.
UUACCGAGUUAUUCAACUCAUCAACCCUGUGAACAUACCUAAACGUUGCUUCGGCGGGAAUAGACGGCCCCGUGAAACGGGCCGCCCCCGCCAGAGGACCCUUAACUCUGUUUCUAUAAUGUUUCUUCUGAGUAAAACAAGCAAAUAAAUUAAAACUUUCAACAACGGAUCUCUUGGCUCUGGCAUCGAUGAAGAACGCAGCGAAAUGCGAUAAGUAAUGUGAAUUGCAGAAUUCAGUGAAUCAUCGAAUCUUUGAACGCACAUUGCGCCCGCCAGUAUUCUGGCGGGCAUGCCUGUUCGAGCGUCAUUACAACCCUCAGGCCCCCGGGCCUGGCGUUGGGGAUCGGCGGAGCCCUUUGUGGGCACACGCCGUCCCCCAAAUACAGUGGCGGUCCCGCCGCAGCUUCCAUCGCGUAGUAGCUAACACCUCGCGACUGGAGAGCGGCGCGGCCACGCCGUAAAACACCCAACUCUUCUGAAGUUGACCUCGAAUCAGGUAGGAAUACCCGCUGAACUUAAGCAUAUCAAUAAG